Molecule: small nuclear RNA, 265 nt
Filed under: Mus pahari (shrew mouse)
Lineage: Eukaryota; Metazoa; Chordata; Mammalia; Rodentia; Muridae
Description: sRNA (MGP_PahariEiJ_G0008299.1)
Rfam family: 7SK RNA
About the family: 7SK was discovered as an abundant small nuclear RNA in the mid-70s but a possible function has only recently been suggested.
Source: RNAcentral
GGAUGUGAGGGCAAUCUGGCUGUAACAUCUGUCACCUCAUUGAUCGUCAGGGUUGAUUUGGCUGAUCUGGCUGGCUAGGCAGGUGUCCCCUUCCUCCCUCACCCGCUAGGUAGAAGAGGAUGGCCUUCCUCAAAUAGAGAGGACCAGUCUUCUGUCAAGGAUAUACGAGUGGCUGUGCUACCCUGCUAGAACCUCCAAACAAGCUCUCAAAUUAGAUACUUGACACCUAAAAUUUUAUCAUUGAAAUUAAAAUCCUGUCAUUUUU